ACGAACGCUGGCGGCGUGCUUCACACCUGCAAGUCGCACGGUGAAGCGAGUGCUUGCACUCGUGGAUCAGUGGCGAACGGGUGAGUAACACGUGAGUAACCUGCCCAUCACUCUGGGAUAAGCACUGGAAACGGUGUCUAAUACUGGAUACGACCAACCCUUGCAUGGGGUGUUGGUGGAAAGAUUUAUCGGUGAUGGAUGGACUCGCGGCCUAUCAGCUUGUUGGCGGGGUAAUGGCCCACCAAGGCGACGACGGGUAGCCGGCCUGAGAGGGUGACCGGCCACACUGGGACUGAGACACGGCCCAGACUCCUACGGGAGGCAGCAGUGGGGAAUAUUGCACAAUGGGCGAAAGCCUGAUGCAGCGACGCCGCGUGAGGGAUGACGGCCUUCGGGUUGUAAACCUCUUUCAGCAGGGAAGAAGCGAAAGUGACGGUACCUGCAGAAGAAGCACCGGCUAACUACGUG
This 468-nucleotide ribosomal RNA is filed under the name uncultured bacterium. RNAcentral describes it as "partial 16S ribosomal RNA". It matches the Rfam family "Bacterial small subunit ribosomal RNA", at positions 29 to 507 of the family's 1533-position model. The record is from RNAcentral.